Molecule: ribosomal RNA, 775 nt
Filed under: uncultured Neocallimastigales
Lineage: Eukaryota; Fungi; Neocallimastigomycota; Neocallimastigomycetes; Neocallimastigales
Description: partial large subunit ribosomal RNA
Rfam family: Eukaryotic large subunit ribosomal RNA
Source: RNAcentral
CGUCUAUAUACGUAUAGCAUAUCAAUAAGCGGAGGAAAAGAAACUAACAAGGAUUCCCUUAGUAACGGCGAGUGAAGCGGGAAGAGCUCAAAUUUGAAAUCUUCAAGGUUUUACCUUGACGAAUUGUAGUUUAAAGAAGUGUUUUCUGUUGAAGUUUUGGUAAAAGUUCUUUGGAAUAGGACAUCAUAGAGGGUGAGAAUCCCGUAUUUGACCAUUAUCUCCAGCGUUGUGAUACACUUUCAAAGAGUCGGAUUGUUUGGGAAUGCAGUCCAAAAUGGGUGGUAAAUUUCAUCUAAAGCUAAAUAUUGGCGAGAGACCGAUAGCGAACAAGUACCGUGAGGGAAAGAUGAAAAGAACUUUGAAAAGAGAGUUAAACAGUACGUGAAAUUGUCAAAAGGGAAGCGUUUGACACCAGUGUUGUUUUUCCGGAAAAUCAAUUACGAAUGUUUUGUUUUUAAGGAGUUAUGACUUCAUCGGCUUGCUUCUUUCUUUACGAAACUUUCUUAAUGCACUUUUCGGUUAACAAGUCAACAUCAGUUUCUUUUGUUGUAAAAGGGUCAUUGGAAGGUGGCUUUCUUUUCGGAGAAAGUGUUUAUAGCCUUUGGCCUCUGCAAUCGGAGAGAUUGAGGUCUGCAGCGUAGAUCCUUCGGGGUUAGAUACAUUUGUGCUAAGUUAUAGCCUUUCAUAGACAACUUGUUGACUAUGAUCAGUCAUGUAGCUUACUCGCUUAUGCUAUUUUACCUACGCUUAGGAUGUUGACUGAUAUGUAGUCGUA